GACGAACGCUGGCGGCGUGCCUAACACAAGCAAGUCGAACGGAGAUAUGAUUUCGGUUUUAUCUUAGUGGCGAACGGGUGAGUAACGCGUGAGCAACCUGGCCUUCAGAGGGGGAUAACAUUUGGAAACAGAUGCUAAUACCGCAUAAGACCACGACCCGACAUCGGGAUGAGGUCAAAGGAGUAAUCCGCUGAGGGAGGGGCUCGCGUCCCAUUAGAUAGAUGGCGGGGUAACGGCCCACCAUGUCGACGAUGGGUAGCCGAGCUGAGAGGCUGAUCGGCCACACUGGAACUGAGACACGGUCCAGACUCCUACGGGAGGCAGCAGUGGGGAAUAUUGGGCAAUGGGCGCAAGCCUGACCCAGCAACGCCGCGUGAGGGAAGAAGGCUUUCGGGUUGUAAACCUCUGUCCUUGGUGACGAAACAAAUGACGGUAGCCAAGGAGGAAGCCCCGGCUAACUACGUGCCAGCAGCAGCCGCAG
This 481-nucleotide ribosomal RNA is filed under the name uncultured bacterium. Its description in RNAcentral is "partial 16S ribosomal RNA". It matches the Rfam family "Bacterial small subunit ribosomal RNA", at positions 28 to 523 of the family's 1533-position model. The record is from RNAcentral.